This 587-nucleotide ribosomal RNA is filed under the name uncultured bacterium. RNAcentral describes it as "partial 16S ribosomal RNA". It matches the Rfam family "Bacterial small subunit ribosomal RNA", at positions 355 to 1376 of the family's 1533-position model. The record is from RNAcentral.
UGGGGAAUUUUGGACAAUGGGGGAAACCCUGAUCCAGCCAUCCCGCGUGUGCGAUGAAGGCCUUCGGGUUGUAAAGCACUUUUGGCAGGAAAGAAACGUCGCGGGUUAAUACCCCGCGAAACUGACGGUACCUGCAGAAUAAGCACCGGCUAACUACGUGCCAGCAGCCGCGGUAAUACGUAGGGUGCAAGCGUUAAUUGGAAUUACUGGGUGUAAAGCGUGCGCAGGCGGUUCGGAAAGAAAGAUGUGAAAUCCCAGAGCUUAACUUUGGAACUGCAUUUUUAACUACCGGGCUAGAGUGUGUCAGAGGGAGGUGGAAUUCCGCGUGUAGCAGUGAAAUGCGUAGAUAUGCGGAGGAACACCGAUGGCGAAGGCAGCCUCCUGGGAUAACACUGACGCUCAUGCACGAAAGCGUGGGGAGCAAACAGGAUUAGAUACCCUGGUAGUCCACGCCCUAAACGAUGUCAACUAGCUGUUGGGGGCCUUCGGGCCUUGGUAGCGCAGCUAACGCGUGAAGUUGACCGCCUGGGGAGUACGGUCGCAAGAUUAAAACUCAAAGGAAUUGACGGGGUCAUAGCUGUUUCCUG